RNAcentral lists this ribosomal RNA (450 nucleotides) under uncultured bacterium. Its description in RNAcentral is "bacterial SSU rRNA". It matches the Rfam family "Bacterial small subunit ribosomal RNA", at positions 29 to 524 of the family's 1533-position model. The record is from RNAcentral.
AACGAACGCUGGCGGCAGGCUUAACACAUGCAAGUCGAACGGGCACCUUCGGGUGUCAGUGGCAGACGGGUGAGUAACGCGUGGGAACGUACCCUUCGGUUCGGAAUAACCCAGGGAAACUUGGGCUAAUACCGGAUACGUCCGUAAGGAGAAAGAUUUAUUGCCGAAGGAUCGGCCCGCGUCGGAUUAGCUAGUUGGUGGGGUAAUGGCCCACCAAGGCGACGAUCCGUAGCUGGUCUGAGAGGAUGAUCAGCCACACUGGGACUGAGACACGGCCCAGACUCCUACGGGAGGCAGCAGUGGGGAAUAUUGGACAAUGGGCGAAAGCCUGAUCCAGCCAUGCCGCGUGAGUGAAGAAGGCCUUAGGGUUGUAAAGCUCUUUCAGCGGGAAGAUAAUGACGGUACCGCAGAAGAAGUCCCGGCUAACUUCGUGCCAGCCGCCGCCGUAAC